AUGGCAUUGUGUGAAUAAUCGUUGCCGAAAGCGUCCUCUUUCACAGCAUAGUUGAAGUCAAAGGGCAUGCCAGAAUUUGUCUUCGCAUCCUCACGAAGUUAUCGACGGCGAAUGGUCGGAGAAAGGUACGCACGGUCUAGAUUGUUCAGCGAAUCCUUAUUGUGUCCAGCCUCGCUCAUUCCUGAUCACUCAAUGCGCAUUCAGCAAGAGCAGGUCAGAGCAGGGCACAGUGCAAAGAUUACCUCAAGUCUUCGCCGUGAUGAUGGUGAAUGUGGCACGAUUAAUUAAAGCAAGCAUGCUCGUGCGCGCAUGACAGCAGGUGCACGAAGAGAAAUUACACUUUUUCUUCGUAUUAUUAUCUACAUUUCCGUCUUUCACGAAAAACCGCAGUUCCACAAAAAGCUUCAUGGAAAGUUGUUUACGCAAUUAAACGCCUAAAGGAAAAAGCUUAAAGCAAUAUACUUGGGCGCCUUCUCUUGAUAGAGGAUAUACGAAACAAAACGCAUCUCAAACUGCAGUAACCCGAAAGGUGAAGUGAACAAGUGGAAGUCAAGGACCUUGCACAAUUUCAUUACAGACAAUAAAGUAAUAUAACUUUAUAAUAUCGAAGAUAUUCCUCUUGUUCAAUAAAUAACUUCUUCGGUAUUUUGUCGGCGUUUUGCGAAGACCGAGAUGUUCUUUCUCGCGAGGCAACUUCGACAGCCGCACUUUAAAGAUCAAGGUUUGUCGAAUCGGAUUCCAUCUGAUUUCGAAGUGCGUGGCAUUAACACCUCACUUCUGGAUCGAGUGGUUGCGCCCUUCUAAAUGGACCGCAUUCUUCUUUUUCUCCUUAGCCAUGGCAUGAGAGCGAUAUAUUUCUCAUCUGCUGCUCGUCCUUCCCUUUCUCGUUCGCACACGUAUUGUUCGAAGACAUUCGUGACAUUUCAUUCUCUUUGAUCUUAAAGUCUGAGUACCAAGAUCGCGCCGUUGGUCGUAGGUUAUCGGAGCUGCAACUUUGCCGCAUUAUAAACAUUGCUCGCAUUGUAAACGUUACAUUAAAUACGCGAUUAAUAUUUCUUCAAAAAUGUUUACCUUCAUAUUUCAUAUGUUCAUUUUGU
Acromyrmex echinatior (Panamanian leafcutter ant) is the source of this 1097-nucleotide long non-coding RNA. The record is from RefSeq and is a predicted model, not a curated record. Lineage: Eukaryota; Metazoa; Arthropoda; Insecta; Hymenoptera; Formicidae.